Molecule: non-coding RNA, 74 nt
Organism: Podarcis lilfordi (Lilford's wall lizard)
Lineage: Eukaryota; Metazoa; Chordata; Lepidosauria; Squamata; Lacertidae
Source: the annotation of a GenBank genome assembly
GCCUGGAUAGCUCAGUUGGUUAGAGCAUGGUGCUGAUAAUGCCAAGGUUGCAGGUUUGAUCCCCAUAUAGGGCA